GACGAACGCUGGCGGCGUGCUUAACACAUGCAAGUCGAACGGAAAGGCCCUGCUUUUGUGGGGUGCUCGAGUGGCGAACGGGUGAGUAACACGUGAGUAACCUGCCCUUGACUUUGGGAUAACUUCAGGAAACUGGGGCUAAUACCGGAUAGGAGCUCCUGCUGCAUGGUGGGGGUUGGAAAGUUUCGGCGGUUGGGGAUGGACUCGCGGCUUAUCAGCUUGUUGGUGGGGUAGUGGCUUACCAAGGCUUUGACGGGUAGCCGGCCUGAGAGGGUGACCGGCCAGAUUGGGACUGAGAUACGGCCCGGACUCCUACGGGAGGCAGCAGUGGGGAAUAUUGCACAAUGGGCGGAAGCCUGAUGCAGCAACGCCGCGUGCGGGAUGACGGCCUUCGGGUUGUAAACCGCUUUCGCCUGUGACGAAGCGUGAGUGACGGUAAUGGGUAAAGAAGCACCGGCUAACUACGUG
Molecule: ribosomal RNA, 468 nt
Filed under: uncultured bacterium
Lineage: Bacteria
Description: partial 16S ribosomal RNA
Rfam family: Bacterial small subunit ribosomal RNA
Source: RNAcentral